RNAcentral lists this ribosomal RNA (253 nucleotides) under uncultured bacterium. RNAcentral describes it as "partial 16S ribosomal RNA". It matches the Rfam family "Bacterial small subunit ribosomal RNA", at positions 524 to 776 of the family's 1533-position model. The record is from RNAcentral.
UACAGGGGGUGCAAACGUUGCUCGGAAUCAUUGGGCGUAAAGGGUGCGUAGGCGGCGCGGUAAGUCGGGUGUGAAAUCUCGGAGCUUAACUCCGAAACUGCAUUCGAUACUGCCGUGCUUGAGGACUGGAGAGGAGACUGGAAUUUACGGUGUAGCGGUGAAAUGCGUAGAUAUCGUAAGGAAGACCAGUGGCGAAGGCGGGUCUCUGGACAGUUCCUGACGCUGAGGCACGAAGGUCAGGGGAGCAAACGGG